GAUGACGUCAGCAGGUCCUUUCCGAAUACAGCAUUUAGCCUUUCCCCAUGGAGAAGCUGCCCCCGGCCGCCAUGAUGGAGGCUCCCCUCCCAGGUUCUGAUUCCAGGAGGAGAAGUCCCCCCAAGAGGUGUCCCCAUUCUAUGUAUUCCCAGGACUGUCCAGAGGAGAAGCUCCCAGAGAACCAUCAGGAUGAAAAUCUGAUGGAUAUUAAGGCUGAGGUUAAAGAUGAAGCAGAAGAGGAGACGGAUUUAUGGGGCGAUCAGCAGG
Long non-coding RNA from Bufo gargarizans (Asiatic toad), 267 nucleotides. RefSeq lists it as uncharacterized. The record is from RefSeq and is a predicted model, not a curated record. NCBI's taxonomy places the organism in Eukaryota, Metazoa, Chordata, Amphibia, Anura, Bufonidae. The transcript is spliced from 3 exons.